Molecule: ribosomal RNA, 440 nt
Filed under: uncultured Thermosynechococcus sp.
Lineage: Bacteria; Bacillati; Cyanobacteriota; Cyanophyceae; Acaryochloridales; Thermosynechococcaceae
Description: bacterial SSU rRNA
Rfam family: Bacterial small subunit ribosomal RNA
Source: RNAcentral
GGGGUGGGGCUGCCUUACCAUGCAGUCGGACGGGCUCUUUCGGGAGCUAGUGGCGGACGGGUGAGUAACGCGUGACAAUCUGCCCUUAGGAGGGGGAUAACGGUUGGAAACGACCGCUAAGACCCCAUAUGCCGAGAGGUGAAAUAGGUUUCUGCCUGAGGAUGAGCUCGCGUCCGAUUAGCUAGUUGGUGGGGUAAGAGCCCACCAAGGCGACGAUCGGUAGCUGGUCUGAGAGGAUGAUCAGCCACACUGGGACUGAGACACGGCCCAGACUCCUACGGGAGGCAGCAGUGGGGAAUUUUCCGCAAUGGGCGAAAGCCUGACGGAGCAAGACCGCGUGAGGGAAGAAGGUCUGUGGAUUGUAAACCUCUUUUGAUUGGGAAGAAGUUCUGACGGUACCAAUCGAAUCAGCCUCGGCUAACUCCGUGCCAGCAGCCGCG